CCCUUAGAUGUCCGGGGCUGCACGCGCGCUACACUGAAGGAAUCAGCGUGCUAAAACCAUUGUCGAAAGGCAUUGGUAAACCCAUUAAAAUCCUACGUGAUUGGGAUCGGGAAUUGCAAUUAUUUCCCUUGAACGAGGAAUUCCCAGUAAGUGUGGGUCAUAAGCUCGCGUUGAUUACGUCCCUGCCCUUUGUACACACCGCCCGUCGCUGCCCGGGACUGAGCCGUUUCGAGAAAAGCGGGGACUGCUGCUGUCGGGGCUUUCGGGCCUUGGCUUCGGUGGAAACCGCUUUAAUCGCAGUGGCUUGGACCGGGCAAAAGUCGUANCA
RNAcentral lists this ribosomal RNA (328 nucleotides) under uncultured eukaryote. Its description in RNAcentral is "partial 18S ribosomal RNA". It matches the Rfam family "Eukaryotic small subunit ribosomal RNA", at positions 1470 to 1796 of the family's 1831-position model. The record is from RNAcentral.